AUGGUUCCCUUGAGUUACCAUCCAUGGCCUUGCACUUGCAAGUGGCUGCACCAGCUCACCAAAGGUAUCCCACCUGUGCUGCAUAUAAUCAGCAUAAGAAAGGUCUCCUGGCAGCAGAUGUACAUCAUAUUUGCAUUGGCCAAUAUGGUCCAGUGUUGAUUUAGUCCAGCCAGUUUGACCCAAAUCCCCUGCCACAGCAAAAGUAAUUGGAAACUGUGCAGGAGGGGUCUUGAACUCAAACUCAGGACCUUGUCGACCACAGCGGUAAAAGUAAACAGUGUCAUGCUCCAGAGGCCCAAUGACAGUGUGGUGUAUCUUUCCCGACCUAUAAAAUAGGUAUCUAUAAGAUGUGCUCUCUCCUUCAGCUCCA
RNAcentral lists this long non-coding RNA (370 nucleotides) under Citrus sinensis (sweet orange). RNAcentral's name for it is "long non-coding RNA (CSIN_LNC001664)". Lineage: Eukaryota; Viridiplantae; Streptophyta; Magnoliopsida; Sapindales; Rutaceae. The record is from RNAcentral.